GACGAACGCUGGCGGCGUGCUUAACACAUGCAAGUCGAACGGAAAGGCCUGCUUUCCCUUGUGGAUUGCGGGUACUCGAGUGGCGAACGGGUGAGUAACACGUGAGUGAUCUGCCCCCAACUUGGGUAUAAGCCUGGGAAACUGGGUCUAAUUCCCGAUAGGACUGCAGGGUGGUGCCUGUGGUGGAAAACGAUUUUCUAGUGGUUGGGGAUGAGCUCGCGGCCUAUCAGCUUGUUGGUGGGGUAAUGGCCUACCAAGGCGGCGACGGGUAGCCGGCCUGAGAGGGUGGACGGCCACAGUGGGACUGAGAUACGGCCCAGACUCCUACGGGAGGCAGCAGUGGGGAAUAGUGCACAAUGGGCGGAAGCCUGAUGCAGCGACGCCGCGUGGGGGAUGACGGCCUUCGGGUGGUAAACUCCUUUCGACCGCGAGGAAGCCACCUGGUUGGAAGGGUGGUGACGGUAGUGGUAGAAGAAGCACCGGCCAACUACGUG
This 494-nucleotide ribosomal RNA is filed under the name uncultured bacterium. RNAcentral describes it as "partial 16S ribosomal RNA". It matches the Rfam family "Bacterial small subunit ribosomal RNA", at positions 28 to 507 of the family's 1533-position model. The record is from RNAcentral.